This 29-nucleotide non-coding RNA is filed under the name Rattus norvegicus (Norway rat). The record is from RNAcentral. Lineage: Eukaryota; Metazoa; Chordata; Mammalia; Rodentia; Muridae.
UGAACGUGGCAGUCAGCCUGUCUGUCCCC